This 21-nucleotide non-coding RNA is filed under the name Caenorhabditis elegans. The record is from RNAcentral. Lineage: Eukaryota; Metazoa; Nematoda; Chromadorea; Rhabditida; Rhabditidae.
UAGAACUUCAUCUUUAGAACA